Malus domestica (apple) is the source of this 3641-nucleotide non-coding RNA. NCBI's taxonomy places the organism in Eukaryota, Viridiplantae, Streptophyta, Magnoliopsida, Rosales, Rosaceae. The record is from RefSeq and is a predicted model, not a curated record.
ACCAAAGACCCCAGUAACCAAAAAGACAAUCGAGCCCUCACCACCGUCGCCAUGCUCUCUGCAGUCUCGUCUUCCCUCCUUAUCUUCCACAAGCCCUUCACUCGCGCUCUUCGACUUCCCCUCCCCAAACCCCCUCUCACCCCAAACCCUAGACCCCUCUCUUUACUCUCCCCGGCCGCUUCUUCUCUCACCCCCAAUGCCACCGGUGGCGGUCGCAUCGGGGCUCUAUCUCCUGCGCCGGCCACCGAUGACCUCCAGAAGGUCGACGUUAACCCUCCCAAGGGCACCAGGGACUUCCCGCCAGAAGAUAUGCGCCUCCGCAACUGGCUCUUCUGCAAUUUCAAAGAGGUCUCGCGGCUGUUCGGCUUCGAAGAGGUCGACUUUCCGGUUCUCGAGACUGAGGCGCUGUUUAUCAGAAAAGCAGGGGAGGAGAUUCGUGACCAGCUGUAUUGCUUCGAAGAUCGAGGCAAUCGUCGCGUCGCGUUGAGGCCGGAGCUCACUCCUUCUUUGGCCAGGCUGGUGAUACAGAAAGGAAAAUCUCUGUCCCUGCCAUUGAAAUGGUUUGCCGUUGGGCAGUGUUGGCGGUACGAGAGGAUGACAAGGGGGCGGCGUCGGGAGCAUUACCAGUGGAAUAUGGAUAUUAUUGGUGUACCUGAGGUUACGGCUGAAGCAGAACUUAUUUCUUCAAUUGUCACUUUCCUCAAGCGAUUAGGAAUUACGGCAUCAGAUGUUGGAUUUAAGGUUUCAAGUCGUAAGGUUUUACAAGAAGUACUGAGGCGCUAUUCCAUACCCGAAUCUUUAUUUGGCAAAGUAUGCAUCAUCAUAGACAAGAUAGAGAAGAUUCCAGUGGAUGAUAUAAAAAAUGAGUUGAAAUCUGCUGGUGUAUCAGAAGAGGCUAUUGAACAGUUAUUGCAAAUUCUUUCCAUAAAGUCAUUGACAAAGCUGGAAGAGGUUCUUGGAGAUGCUGGGGAAGCAGUUGCUGAUUUGAAACAACUAUUUUCUCUUUCUGACAAAUUUGGUUAUUCUGAAUGGAUCCAGUUUGAUGCUUCUAUUGUUCGUGGCCUUGCCUACUACACUGGUAUUGUUUUCGAGGGUUUUGAUAGAGGAGGAAAGUUACGAGCCAUUUGUGGUGGUGGGCGAUAUGACCGCUUGCUUUCUACUUUUGGUGGUGAUGACAUUCCGGCUUGUGGAUUUGGAUUUGGUGAUGCUGUCAUAGUGGAAUUGCUUAAGGAGAAGGGCCUUCUGCCGGAACUCAGCCUGCAAGUAGAGAACAUUGUGUGUGCUCUUGAUCCUGGACUUAAAGAAGCAGCUGCAACAGUUGCCACCAUACUCAGGGGGAAAGGUCAAAGUGUUGAUUUAGUCUUGGAGAACAAACCGCUUAAAUGGGUAUUCAAGCGUGCAGCACGGAUAAAUGCUAAUAGGUUGAUAUUGGUGGGAGAUUCAGAGUGGCAGAGGGGUAUGGUGAGUGUGAAAGUCCUUUCUUCUGGUGAACAACAUGAGAUCAAACUUGAUGAACUAGAGUGAUAAGAAGUUUGGUUAUUCGGAGGUUGUAUUGUUUACUUUUAUCUUUGUAGAUUGUGUUUUGAAUGGUAAUGGUUGCUCGGAGUAGAAGAAGAAUGCGACCCAGUGUGUCUUCCUGACGAAGAACGUGCAGAUGACUUGAAGUCUUUCAGAUAAUGCUCUGCCGAAUCGUCAAGGUACUGUGAUCUUUCCUUUCAGAAAGUCGAUUUUCUAUAUUCAGUCAUUUCUUUUUAAUUCAAACUGGUCUUUGUUAGCCGAUUUAGAGCAAUUUGAAAAUACUCAUACCCUAGAGAAUGACUUCUUUGGGUCAUUUACCUGAAGAGAUUUGCUUGGAUAUAGGAUAGUGUGGGAGGAAGUUUUUAAUUUUUGGGUCUGGAUUGUUGGAGGAAUUGGUAAGUUUAGAUCCAGAAAAGAUUAUUUCAGGUGGCAAAAUUAUUAGGUUAGACCAUGUGCUCACUGCUAAGUUUCUCACAAAGACAAAUCUCCAAACCCAUAGGCUAGCACUGAGUGCAAGAUCCAUAUCUUCCACCGUGGUUCGGCCUUUGCAUCCCGCAUUGUCAUUUAAGGGUUUUCUCCAUGAACCUGCUGUUGCAGUAUGUAAGGUCAACCAGUAAAUUAUGUUGUCCAAAGUAGUUGUCUCUUCGUUACUGCUGCAUCUUAUCUGUUAAGGAACACCGAAUAUGUUUGCAAUUUUACAAUCCUAGUUACGGUGGUAUUGCUAUUGAGAAUUUGGGUUUUACAUGAAAUUUUUUUAAGGUAGUAGAAGGGGAAACGUCGAGCAGUUAAGAUGAUAAUUUGAAGUUACAGAGGGUAAGUGAGGAUAUUGCUGUUGACCAUAUGUUGUGCCCAAAUCAGACUGCUGGACAUAAGUACAGUAAAAUAAAACAUUGUUUUCUGAGGUCUUGUAAAUGUUAUAACGUGCACCGAAAGUAGAUACAAACGUUAACUUCUGACAGAUUUUAUGUAUCGUUGGUUUCCUGUGAACGAUCCAUUGUUUAAAGUUGUCAUCGACACAUCAGAAAUAUAAAGUAUGAUCCCCUUGCAUUGAUAUGAUAGCAUGAUUCUGGAGUGUUUUUUUGGUUUUUUUCGUGUGAAUAUGCAGAAAAUUUUUCUGUAUGAAACACAUAAAUUUGAUGAACCUGUGCUUUGCCAGUUGUAUUUGAGCAUUUUUGGGUGUCAUCAGUUGUAUAUGAUCAUGUUGAUCGCUCUCAUCACAUGACACGACUCACAUGAUAAGAGAUAGUCCAAUGAUUGUAUAUAAGUUCAUAACCGGUGAUAGGGCAUGUUUUUUUUAUUUUGAUUUGCAGCCUAUAAAGGAAAUCCGGAGUGGCACUAAUCUCAAGCGGCUUGAGUCAAGCCCCCACAUGGGUGUUUUGAAUUUGGCCAAAUCAGAUAAAUGGUCCUCGUGGUGAUACGGCAUUCGGAAGAUAGCCCUUGUGGUGAAAAAAAUUAGGAAUUAAACUAUUGUGAGGAAAACUGUUAGGAAAUAAGCCCCAAAAUAAAAUUUCUGUCAAGUCACAGUCAAAAGGCUGCACGUGAGGCUGAUAGGUCUAGUUCUUAAUUUUUUCACCACAAAGGUUAUCUUCUGAAUAUCCAAUUACCACGAAGACCGAUUAUUCGAUUUAGCCUUGCAAUUAUAUCUAAAUCUGCAUCAACAUCCAAAUUUGACACAGCAAGCAGCAAGCACCGCGCUCAUAAGCAACCACGUCUCCAAUCUCAACGCCAUUCUUGUUUGAAGUUUUGAUCGGCCCAGAACAUUUUGGUGCUUUCUAUUUAUGGCCCUCCAUGCAUCAUUAUCCUCGAUAUUUAUGUGCUUUCUAUUUAUGGCCCUAAACCCUUGUAUUUUUUUCCCUACUUUCUUCUGCUGUUUUUGGUCGUUUUCGCCUUUGUUUUCUUUUGUCCUGGCAGUCUCAAUCCGGGCAGAUCUGUCACUACUGCCGCUGUGACCACGUCCGAUGGCUCAGUUCUUUGCUUUUGUGGCAUUUUCCUAGCUAGAUGCCCUAGUUUUGUGGCAUUUUACAACUCCCCCUCACGGGCCAAACGUUUGUUUGCAUACAAUGUUACUCAAAUGUGUCUGGGGAAACUGGUUGAGAUGAUGGAUUUAUGAAUCUUAGUUAUUC